This 109-nucleotide ribosomal RNA is filed under the name Scophthalmus maximus (turbot). Lineage: Eukaryota; Metazoa; Chordata; Actinopteri; Pleuronectiformes; Scophthalmidae. The record is from RNAcentral.
UCUUACGGCCACACCGCCUGGUUCACGCUUGAUCUCGGAAGAUAAGAUAGGUUGGGCCUGGUUAGUACUUGGAUGGGAGACCACCUGGGAAUACCAGGUGCUGUAAGCU